GUGGACACACGCGGUGGUCUCCCUCUAGAACUCACUCAGGUCCAGUCUAGAGAUGAUGUCACCUUGGUCUGCACUGCCGCCAACACCACCAUCAACAUGUCAAUUACAACAUGGUUUCGAGAUGAAGCUCGAGUUUUGAAUACAUUGAGUGCAAACAAUGACUGCUUUAUUCACCCACCCAACAAUACAGACAAUACUGCUGUGUAUCGUUAUGACCUGUACACAUCGAAGGAUUUCAGUGUAAGCUGUACUACCUUCCAGCACAACCUGACACUAACUACAACUGAAUAUUUGGAAGCUGGGGACGUGUGGAGAUGUAAAGAUCAAAACUUCAGAAGUAGUAACAACCUUACGUCAGAUAUGAAUACAGACUUCUCAGGUUCUGCCUCUGAGUCGACUUCACCACUGACUGAUUCACCAACAACGUUGGGAAUAUCUACAUCAAGAAAGACAACUCCAGACACACAC
Haliotis rubra (blacklip abalone) is the source of this 468-nucleotide long non-coding RNA. RefSeq lists it as uncharacterized. The transcript has 3 exons. The record is from RefSeq and is a predicted model, not a curated record. NCBI's taxonomy places the organism in Eukaryota, Metazoa, Mollusca, Gastropoda, Lepetellida, Haliotidae.